RNAcentral lists this transfer RNA (73 nucleotides) under Pyronema omphalodes CBS 100304. RNAcentral's name for it is "tRNA-Tyr". It matches the Rfam family "tRNA". Rfam says of the family: Transfer RNA (tRNA) molecules are approximately 80 nucleotides in length. Their secondary structure includes four short double-helical elements and three loops (D, anti-codon, and T loops). Lineage: Eukaryota; Fungi; Ascomycota; Pezizomycetes; Pezizales; Pyronemataceae. The record is from RNAcentral.
CCCUCUGUGGUGUAGUUGGUAUCACACCGGACUGUAAAUCCGUUGGUCACCGGUUCGACUCCGGUCGGAGGGA